CAAAGAGUAGUUUAAGGAGAAUUUCAGCUUUGGGUGCUGAUGGUGGGACUUUAGGUCUCCUCUUUGA
This 67-nucleotide transfer RNA is filed under the name Ochotona thibetana (Moupin pika). Its description in RNAcentral is "tRNA-Pro". The record is from RNAcentral. Lineage: Eukaryota; Metazoa; Chordata; Mammalia; Lagomorpha; Ochotonidae.